GGAGAGGUGUCCGAGCGGUUUAAGGAGCUGGUCUUGAAAACCAGUGAUUCUGAAAGGGACCGUGGGUUCGAAUCCCACCCUCUCCGCCA
RNAcentral lists this transfer RNA (89 nucleotides) under Selenomonadales bacterium. RNAcentral describes it as "tRNA-Ser". It matches the Rfam family "tRNA". Rfam says of the family: Transfer RNA (tRNA) molecules are approximately 80 nucleotides in length. Their secondary structure includes four short double-helical elements and three loops (D, anti-codon, and T loops). Further hydrogen bonds mediate the characteristic L-shaped molecular structure. tRNAs have two regions of fundamental functional importance: the anti-codon, which is responsible for specific mRNA codon recognition, and the 3' end, to which the tRNAs corresponding amino acid is attached (by aminoacyl-tRNA synthetases). tRNAs cope with the degeneracy of the genetic code in two manners: having more than one tRNA (with a specific anti-codon) for a particular amino acid; and 'wobble' base-pairing, i.e. permitting non-standard base-pairing at the 3rd anti-codon position. The record is from RNAcentral. Lineage: Bacteria; Bacillati; Bacillota; Negativicutes; Selenomonadales. RNAcentral also lists the same sequence under 1 other name.